UAGGGGUGGAAAUCGGACGGAUCGGAUCGGAUUUGGGUGUUUCGGAAAAUUUCCGAUUUUUUUCGGAAGUCCAAAACGACUUCCGAUUCCGAUUCCGAUUUUUUCGGAAUUCAAAAAGUGAUUCCGAUUCCGAUUUUUUCGGAAUUUUCGGAAAUUUUCGGAAAUCUUCAUUUUCGGAAUUUUUCGGAAAAAAAAUGAGCACCAACACAGUAGCAAAACAGAACAUACUCACACAAAAACAAAAACACACCACAGAUAAAAUUAGAUUAAAUUUGAAUCAAUUAAAUUAGAUUUAUUCUAAAAGUACCCGAUAGAGAGAGCGGCUUUGCUGGUGGUCGUCGGAGAGCCGGGAGGCGCUGGUGGUGGUGGUCUUCGGAGAGCCGGGAAGCGCUGGUGGUGGUGGUCUUCGGAGAGCCGGGAGGCCUGGUUGCGAUGGUGGUGGUUGGAGAAUCGGGAGGCGCAAGUGGUGGUGGUCGUCGGAGAAUUGGGAGGCGCUGCUGGUGGUGGUGGUCGUCGGAGAGCCGAGAUGCGCUAGUGGUGGUGGUCGUCGGAGAACCGGGAGGCAGUGGUGGUGGUGGUCGUCGGAGAAGGCGCUGGUGGUGGUGGGGGAGAAAGAAAGGUAGGAUUGCUGAGAGAGAGAGAGUCGGGAAAUUAGGGUUUC
Molecule: long non-coding RNA, 661 nt
Filed under: Erythranthe guttata (spotted monkey flower)
Lineage: Eukaryota; Viridiplantae; Streptophyta; Magnoliopsida; Lamiales; Phrymaceae
Description: long non-coding RNA (EGUT_LNC002016)
Source: RNAcentral